GUCUACAGGCAUACAACCCUGAAUGUGCCUGAUCUCAUCUGAUCUCAGAAGCCAAGUAGGGUCAGGCCUGGUUGGUACAUCAAUGGGAGUUUGGUUUAAAUC
Molecule: ribosomal RNA, 102 nt
Filed under: Microcebus murinus (gray mouse lemur)
Lineage: Eukaryota; Metazoa; Chordata; Mammalia; Primates; Cheirogaleidae
Source: RNAcentral